CACCACUUGAAGUGGACAUCUUAAUGCGUUCAUAUGGCGACUUCGAACACAUUUUUAGAAAGAAGUGCAACACCUGCAGCUGCAAAAGAGAGGGAGACGGCGUGGGAGAACAGUGCUGCCCAGGUCAAUGUGUAAGUUUAAAUCACAAUAAUAUUACUGGGAAACUGUUUAAUAGCAGCCUGUUCUGUUAUUUCAUUUAGGUGCAAUCCUGCGGGGGAGAAGCGCAUGUGGCAGCAGCUGAAGAUGAAAUAUAAGAACAUUGUUCAAACAGAAAGAAAGCAGAUGCCUGUAAAAAGGGAGGUGGCCCAGCAGCACCACCUGUAACGGAGGCAGAGGAGCUGGUCCUAAGCCAGAAUUUGGGAAGGCCAGUGGCUGAGGGAAUCCCUGGAGGGAGCUCAUCCUCUGAGACCACAUCCCAAGACACAAGUGCUUUUAUAUAUAUGCGCGAGUGCGUGAGUGAAUUGUGAUGGUACUAUCUGCCUGGUGGAGCCCCUUCACACCACAACACACCUUGGAACUGAUGAAGAGGAUGAAACUGUGUCUGCUGCCUUUACAGAGGGGGAUCCAGAAAGACAUCUAGAGAAGCAGAUAAUUGAAGACCUUGCUCGGGGUUUGGGAAGCUAAAGGAGGGAAGACGGAGGCGUAGUCAUCGAGGGCAAAGAGAAGAAAGAGAGAGAGAGAGAGAGGGAAGCCACGUCCACAUGUAUGACUCACUCUGCCUCCCUCCUUCUGCUCUCUAACUCUUUGUCUACAUCCCAGAGCAGCAGAAAAUAUCGCCACUGGUGCUAUUUAAUGGGAGCACCUUGAGUAGAAGUGAUAAACGUAUCAAUGCUCCCUGCAGCUGUAGGUUCAGUAGCAGUAAGUGC
Long non-coding RNA from Amphiprion ocellaris (clown anemonefish), 866 nucleotides. The record is from Ensembl. NCBI's taxonomy places the organism in Eukaryota, Metazoa, Chordata, Actinopteri, Pomacentridae.